RNAcentral lists this ribosomal RNA (781 nucleotides) under Paramicrolaimus hohonucola. RNAcentral describes it as "Paramicrolaimus hohonuicola partial 28S ribosomal RNA". It matches the Rfam family "Eukaryotic large subunit ribosomal RNA", at positions 343 to 956 of the family's 3401-position model. The record is from RNAcentral. Lineage: Eukaryota; Metazoa; Nematoda; Chromadorea; Chromadorida; Paramicrolaimidae.
UACAAGUACCCGUGAGGGAAAGUUGCAAAGAACUUUGAAGAGAGAGUUCAAGAGGGCGUGAAACCGUUUAAAAGAAAACAGGUGGAGCUGAUGGGAAGUCCAAGGGAUUCAGCUCAUUAUGGUGUGAGUACUUCUCGGUCGAUCGAAUCACGACCUUGAGGUGGAUCUUGCUUACCCUCUGAGUGCAUUUCCUUUGGAUGGCGCUAAGUUCGGUGACUAUGCUGGAAGUAAAAUCGGGGAUGCCGGCUGCUUUUUAAGCAGUGUCCCACCCUCUUUUGAAACCGAGUCGGUGUUACCGUUUCUGUGUCCGCAUCUAGCUCGGUAGCAUUGCUGCUGUAGUGACUGAACGACUGUUCCCUGCAUGCAGGUUUCGGUGAAUCUUACUGCAGUUUGUAGUGUGGUCCGAGCUGACACGAUAGCUUGGUGUAUAUGUCAGCCACCCACCUGACCCGUCUUGAAACACGGACCAAGGAGUCUAACAUGUCCGCGAGUUAUUAGGUUUUCAAACCUAGAAGCGCAAUGAAAGUAAAAACUGGCUUUGUCAGUCUAUAUGGGACCUUUUGCCGUAUGGCGAUUGAGCACCAUAGUCCCGUCUUAUCUGCUUGUCAGGGAGGCGGCGAUAGAGCGGACAUGCUGGUACCCGAAAGAUGGUGAACUAUGCCUGAGCAGGAUAAAGCCAGAGGAAACUCUGGUGGAAGUCCAUAGCGGUUCUGACGUGCAAAUCGAUCGUCAGACUUGGGUAUAGGGGCGAAAGACUAAUCGAACCAUCUAGUAGCUGGUU